This is a non-coding RNA of Paramuricea clavata, 3213 nucleotides long. The record is from the annotation of a GenBank genome assembly. Lineage: Eukaryota; Metazoa; Cnidaria; Anthozoa; Malacalcyonacea; Plexauridae.
GGGUUGUUCUUUUGCUAAUAUUCGAAGUGAGCCACGUAUGUUUGGGUUGUUCACAAUGUAAUUUAAUUAUUUUUGAAAAUAAUAUGUUACUUUUUGAUAUACGUUCUUGUUUGGAUGUUGUAGUCGUGUAUUUGGUGUCUUUUCUGGUAAAUAUAUGCAACUGUCAGCAUAAACAGGUUUGUAUGGGAUAUAUAGUACCGAUGGCCACCGAUCGAUAUGCGGCAUGCCGAUAUGGCCAUAAGCCCAUAACUAAACAUUUUAUAUAUAAAUCAGCAUGAAAUAUUUGUCUGACUUUUCCAAUCAUACACUUGGAUAUAUAAAAUGAUGAAGAGCACUUUGUUGCCAAAGGCCCAAAGCAACACAACCUUAUUAAGUUGCAGGGUCCUCCUUGGAAUUAUCCUUCUUGGAAGAGGUUUUGACACUUGUGGGACAGUGAGGGACACCAUUUAUAAAUUGAUAGACAUGAUUUCUUUUGGUAAGAGAGAAACAAAAGGUUGUAUUUUAUGCAUGGUUCAAUUUUUCCAGUUACCAUUCCCCUGCUGGGGAAAUGUACACCAACACUUCCCGGGGGUGGGGAAUUUUGUUGAGCGUCUGGUCCCGGGGGCGGCCUGUGGGGGUAGGGAAUAAAGUAUAAGAUAAGGCAUCGAUCAUUAUACCAUAUUGGUUAUUAAGGCAUUUGCUCUAUACUCUUUGCACAUACUUGCCAUAUUUAGCUUGUAAAUUUAGCUUGUAAACAAGUUUUUCUCUGCUGCUUACUGAAGUCUCAUACUACAGGUUUCCUAUCCUCAUAGACAUGCCCAGUGUCAGCAGGUGGCUGUGGCCAUUACUUAUUCUGUGCCCAUUAUUUAUCUUCUGGCAUACAAACUGGGUCAAUGCCCAAAAUUUACAAUGUACCAUCAAGGCUCCAUAGCAUUCCCUGCCAGGGCUGUGCCAAGUGGGUUUUGGUUGGGGGGUGAAAUAAAAAAUUUGGGCUCCUCCCAUUUGGAGGCCCCCUCAAAAAUUUUUUUUCCAGAAACCAAAGAAUUUUUCCGGAAAAUACUGGGGAGGGGGGAUGCCCCAAAAUUUUUUUCAAACACUAGGUUUACCUAAUGGGGGCUUAAAUUUAGUUUUGAAGACCUUUUCAGACCAAUUUUCCAGAGACUUCCUUAAUAUUUAACACGUUCUGCUUUCCAGGGCCCCCUCUCUGCAAUUUGGGCCCUCUUUUUUACUUUUCUUUGGGGGGGGGUGAUCCACCCCAAGGGGUGGCGUGGCCCUGUUUCCUGCCUUGCAGGUACCGCUAGUAAAAUUGUAAUAUUUUUAAUAUGUCCUAGGUUACUAUCCCAAGGUUCCACUCCCUCUAAUCUUCAGUGAAUGCCACUAAGAGAAAACAAGAUAAAAUGUUAUUAAUUAAUUUAAUGACAUGACACAUUUAAAUAUAAAUGUAAUCAUUAAUUGUUUUACUGUAAAUCCAAGAUGAUUUUUAUCAUUAGCUGGAUUCAAUUAUUAACUGUUAACCUUUUCAUUAAAUAAAUGUCUAGGUGGCUGCACUCAGAAGUGAUGAUGACAGUUGCUUCCCUGAUGAGUAAGCAUUUUAAGAGUUCUCAAUUGGUUAUUUAAAUUAGAGCUGUGUGGUUCCAGAAAUUUGAUCUCGGUUCCAGUCUUUAGGAGGAUGAAAGAAUCUCUGUUUGGUAUCUGUAUUUUCAAGAGAAGAUUUGUGAGGUCGGACUCGGCAGGUACAAAACGCAGGUUGCAGGUUGGAAUUUUGCAGGUUGGGAAUUUUGCAGGUUGGAAUUUUGCAGGUUGGGAAUUUUGCAGGUUGGAAUUUUGCAGGUCGCCAGGAAUUUUGCAGGUUGAUGAUGCAAACUUAAAAUUACACCACUAUAAAGUAUUCUAGUAUAAUUUAAUAGUGUACUGAUUGCAGUCUGACUCCUUGUCGGCACUUUUAAUAUCAGCCUAUCCUGCUACCAUGUUCCUAGCUUCUGCUCUAAGGAGUGGCCAUCACCCUUGUGAAAACAUUCAAAAUGACCAGAUUGGCUUGGACCUUCAGGGGGACGGAUGUUUUGAUUGUUGCGAGGAGCCAACAUGACGUGGUGGCAGUUCAGAAAAUGCCUGAAUGAGGUGUCUCUCUUCUGCACCCACUUAUAAGAAGCCCAUUCAAGCCCCCAAUUACCAUAUCAUUAGUCGAGAGUUAGUUAACUUUUAACAAUAUUCUAGUAUAAACGCCGCCAGGUCAUGUAGGCACCUCGCCACAAUCAAAACAUUCGUUUCCCUGUAGGUUCAAGCCAAUCUGGUCAUUUUGAAUGUUUUUACGGUGAUGGCCACUAGCCUUAGUGCAGAGGCUAGGAACAUGGCAACAGGGUAGGCUGAUUAGCUGAUAUCAAAAGCGCCGACAAGGAGUCAGACUGCAAUAAAUGCACAACUAAGUUAUACUAGAAUACUAAAAAAGUGGUGUAAUUUUAAGUUUGCAUUAUCAACCUGCAAAGUUCCUGGCAACCUGCAAAACUCCAACCUGCAAAAUCCCCAACCUGCAAAAUUCCAACCUGCAAAAUACCCAACCUGCAAAAUUCCAACCUGCAAAAUUCCCAACCUGCAAAAUUCCAACCUGCAACCUGUAACCUGCGUUUUGUACCUGCCGGGUCGGACUCAGCAUCUAGUUUGACAAAUGGAAAUGCAUAUAUAUUUCUUUGUUUAAUUUCUUUGUUCUUCAACCUCCAUAUAAUUUAAUCAUUUUGAUCACUACACAUGCAAUUGUGCAGGGCCGUAGGAAGCUCUUUUUGAUUGGGGGCCCCCCAGGGCCGUAGGAAGCUCUUUUUGAUUGAGGGCCGAAGGCAGGCCCAAGGAAAUUUUUAAAUUUAGAGUUCUAAAAUGCCAUUUCCUCGACUUUGGGGAAGACGGUUUGACAGAAUUCUGAUAGUCAGAAAACAGCAUUUUAGUAUGUUGAAAUUUACAAUUUAGUAGUACUAAAUGAGCGAAGGCAUAUUAUAAGUUGCAGGAAAGUAUGGGUAAUAUCUUCAUUCUUUGCAGUUUGUCACAGAUUAAAUGAUAAAGGCUGCAUGAUUUUGAAAAAAAAUUAUUAUUAGCAAAUUAUUGUAGGGAGUACGCUAUUAGUUGCUAUGGCCCUGUUGUGCAAUACAGUACAAGUAAAAUUAAUAUCUACUGUACAGGUGUGGCAUAAAUGAAUUUUGCUGUGAUGGUGAAUGUUGUUCAAACUUUUCAAGAAACUGGUUUGGAUGG